CGACCGCGGUAUAUCUGACCGUGCGAAGGUAGCAUCAUCAGUAGUCUCUUAAUUGGAGGCUGGAAUGAAUGGUUGCACGAGAAGAAAGCUGUUUCUUCUUCAAGAAUUGAAUUUCACUUUUAAGUGAAAAGGCUUAAAUAAAUUGAAGGGACGAUAAGACCCUAUAAAACUUUACAAUUUAUUAUUGCUCCAUAAAUUUUUAGUAUAACUUGGGUUAGUUGUGAUAUUGUUGAGUUGGGGCGACUAUUAUAAAAUUCUAAUAACUGUAUUCUGAAUUAAUAAUUCUGUUUAGUUAAUUGAUCCUUUUUUAAAGAUUAAAAGAUUAAGUUCCUUUAGGGAUAACAGCGUGAUUUUUUUAAAGAGUUCUUAUCGAUGAAAUUAGUUGCGACCUCGAUGUUGAAUUAAAAUUCCUAUAAAGU
This 419-nucleotide ribosomal RNA is filed under the name Heptacarpus futilirostris. Its description in RNAcentral is "partial 16S ribosomal RNA". It matches the Rfam family "Bacterial large subunit ribosomal RNA", at positions 1928 to 2559 of the family's 2925-position model. The record is from RNAcentral. Lineage: Eukaryota; Metazoa; Arthropoda; Malacostraca; Decapoda; Hippolytidae.